RNAcentral lists this ribosomal RNA (460 nucleotides) under uncultured bacterium. RNAcentral's name for it is "partial 16S ribosomal RNA". It matches the Rfam family "Bacterial small subunit ribosomal RNA", at positions 338 to 795 of the family's 1533-position model. The record is from RNAcentral.
CCUACGGGGUGCAGCAGUGAGGAAUAUUGGUCAAUGGACGAGCGUCUGAACCAGCCAAGUAGCGUGAAGGAUGACUGCCCUAUGGGUUGUAAACUUCUUUUAUAUGGGAAUAAAACGUUCCACGUGUGGGAUUUUGUAUGUACCAUAUGAAUAAGGAUCGGCUAACUCCGUGCCAGCAGCCGCGGUAAUACGGAGGAUCCGAGCGUUAUCCGGAUUUAUUGGGUUUAAAGGGAGCGUAGGUGGAUUGUUAAGGCAGUUGUGAAAGUUUGCGGCUCAACCGUAAAAUUGCAGUUGAAACUGGCAGUCUUGAGUACAGUAGAGGUGGGCGGAAGUCGUGGUGUAGCGGUGAAAUGCUUAGAUAUCACGAAGAACUCCGAUUGCGAAGGCAGUUCACUGGACUGCAACUGACACUGAGGCUCGAAAGUGUGGGUAUCAAACAGGAUUAGAUACCCGAGUAGUC